AUUGAACGCUGGCGGCAGGCCUAACACAUGCAAGUCGAGCGGAUGAAGGGAGCUUGCUCCUGGAUUCAGCGGCGGACGGGUGAGUAAUGCCUAGGAAUCUGCCUGGUAGUGGGGGAUAACGUCCGGAAACGGGCGCUAAUACCGCAUACGUCCUGAGGGAGAAAGUGGGGGAUCUUCGGACCUCACGCUAUCAGAUGAGCCUAGGUCGGAUUAGCUAGUUGGUGGGGUAAAGGCCUACCAAGGCGACGUUCCGUAACUGGUCUGAGAGGAUGAUCAGUCACACUGGAACUGAGACACGGUCCAGACUCCUACGGGAGGCAGCAGUGGGGAAUAUUGGACAAUGGGCGAAAGCCUGAUCCAGCCAUGCCGCGUGUGCGAAGAAGGUCUUCGGAUUGUAAAGCACUUUAAGUUGGGAGGAAGGGCAGUAAGUUAAUACCUUGCUGUUUUGACGUUACCAACAGAAUAAGCACCGGCUAACUUCGUG
Molecule: ribosomal RNA, 484 nt
Filed under: uncultured bacterium
Lineage: Bacteria
Description: partial 16S ribosomal RNA
Rfam family: Bacterial small subunit ribosomal RNA
Source: RNAcentral